This 427-nucleotide ribosomal RNA is filed under the name Bacillus licheniformis. RNAcentral describes it as "bacterial SSU rRNA". It matches the Rfam family "Bacterial small subunit ribosomal RNA", at positions 338 to 756 of the family's 1533-position model. Lineage: Bacteria; Bacillati; Bacillota; Bacilli; Caryophanales; Bacillaceae. The record is from RNAcentral.
CCUACGGGAGGCAGCAGUAGGGAAUCUUCCGCAAUGGACGAAAGUCUGACGGAGCACCGCCGCGUGAGUGAUGAAGGUUUUCGGAUCGUAAAACUCUGUUGUUAGGGAAGAACAAGUUCCGUUCGAAUAGGGCGGUACCUUGACGGUACCUAACCAGAAAGCCACGGCUAACUACGUGCCAGCAGCCGCGGUAAUACGUAGGUGGCAAGCGUUGUCCGGAAUUAUUGGGCGUAAAGCGCGCGCAGGCGGUUUCUUAAGUCUGAUGUGAAAGCCCCCGGCUCAACCGGGGAGGGUCAUUGGAAACUGGGGAACUUGAGUGCAGAAGAGGAGAGUGGAAUUCCACGUGUAGCGGUGAAAUGCGUAGAGAUGUGGAGGAACACCAGUGGCGAAGGCGACUCUCUGGUCUGUAACUGACGCUGAAGCGCGA